CAAAUGGCGAACCAUUUGUUUGCCGGUACUUGAUGAAUAAGCCCCGGCUAAUUAUGUGCCAGCAGCCGCGGUAAGACAUAAGGGGCAAGUGUUAUCCGGAAUUAUUGGGCGUAAAGGGUGCGUAGGCGGUCUAGUAAGUCAGUGGUGUAAUGGCAACGCUUAACGUUGUCCGGCUAUUGAAACUGCUAAACUUGAGUUAGAUAGAGGCGAGUGGAAUUCCAUGUGUAGCGGUAAAAUGCGUAAAUAUAUGGAGGAACACCAGAGGCGUAGGCGGCUCGCUGGGUCUUAACUGACGCUGAGGCACGAAAGCGUGGGGAGCAAACAGGAUUAGAUACCCUGGUAGUCCACGCCGUAAACGAUGAGUACUAAGUGUCGGGUUAAACCGGUACUGAAGUUAACACAUUAAGUACUCCGCCUGAGUAGUACGUACGCAAGUAUGAAACUUAAAGGAAUUGACGGGACUCCGCACAAGCGGUGGAUCAUGUUGUUUAAUUCGAAGAUACCCGAAAAACCUUACCAGGUCUUGACAUGUUUUUGCAAAAUGAUAGUAAUAUCGUGGAGGUUACCAGAAACACAGGUGGUGCAUGGUUGUCGUCAGCUCGUGUCGUGAGAUGUUAGGUUAAGUCCUAAAACGAGCGAAACCCUUAUCGUUAGUUGCCAGCACGUUAUGGUGGGGACUUUAACGAGACUGCCAAUGAUAAAUUGGAGGAAGGUGAGGAUCACGUCAAAUCAGCAUGCCCCUUAUGACCUGGGCUACAAACGUGAUACAAUGGCUGUUACAAAGGGUAGCUGAAACGCAAGUUCUUGGCCAAUCCCCAAAAACAGUCCCAGUCCGGAUUGAAGUCUGCAACUCGACUUCAUGAAGUUGGAAUCGCUAGUAAUCGCGAAUCAGCAUGUCGCGGUGAAUACGUUCUCGGGGUUUGUUCUCACCGCCCGUCAAACCACGAAAGUUGGCAAUACCCCAAAACGGUAGCCUAACUCGUU
RNAcentral lists this ribosomal RNA (984 nucleotides) under Candidatus Phytoplasma australiense. RNAcentral's name for it is "bacterial SSU rRNA". It matches the Rfam family "Bacterial small subunit ribosomal RNA", at positions 453 to 1444 of the family's 1533-position model. The record is from RNAcentral. Lineage: Bacteria; Bacillati; Mycoplasmatota; Mollicutes; Acholeplasmatales; Acholeplasmataceae.